RNAcentral lists this ribosomal RNA (2832 nucleotides) under Salmonella enterica subsp. enterica serovar Anatum. Its description in RNAcentral is "bacterial LSU rRNA". It matches the Rfam family "Bacterial large subunit ribosomal RNA". Lineage: Bacteria; Pseudomonadati; Pseudomonadota; Gammaproteobacteria; Enterobacterales; Enterobacteriaceae. The record is from RNAcentral.
GGGUUGUGAGGUUAAGCGACUAAGCGUACACGGUGGAUGCCCUGGCAGUCAGAGGCGAUGAAGGGCGUGCUAAUCUGCGAUAAGCGCCGGUAAGGUGAUAUGAACCGUUAUAACCGGCGAUACCCGAAUGGGGAAACCCAGUGUGAUUCGUCACACUAUCAUUAACUGAAUCCAUAGGUUAAUGAGGCGAACCGGGGGAACUGAAACAUCUAAGUACCCCGAGGAAAAGAAAUCAACCGAGAUUCCCCCAGUAGCGGCGAGCGAACGGGGAGGAGCCCAGAGCCUGAAUCAGCAUGUGUGUUAGUGGAAGCGUCUGGAAAGGCGCGCGAUACAGGGUGACAGCCCCGUACACAAAAGCGCAUGUGCUGUGAGCUCGAUGAGUAGGGCGGGACACGUGGUAUCCUGUCUGAAUAUGGGGGGACCAUCCUCCAAGGCUAAAUACUCCUGACUGACCGAUAGUGAACCAGUACCGUGAGGGAAAGGCGAAAAGAACCCCGGCGAGGGGAGUGAAAAAGAACCUGAAACCGUGUACGUACAAGCAGUGGGAGCCCGUGACUGCGUACCUUUUGUAUAAUGGGUCAGCGACUUAUAUUCUGUAGCAAGGUUAACCGAAUAGGGGAGCCGGAGGGAAACCGAGUCUUAAUUGGGCGUUAAGUUGCAGGGUAUAGACCCGAAACCCGGUGAUCUAGCCAUGGGCAGGUUGAAGGUUGGGUAACACUAACUGGAGGACCGAACCGACUAAUGUUGAAAAAUUAGCGGAUGACCUGUGGCUGGGGGUGAAAGGCCAAUCAAACCGGGAGAUAGCUGGUUCUCCCCGAAAGCUAUUUAGGUAGCGCCUCGUGAAUUCAUCUCCGGGGGUAGAGCACUGUUUCGGCUAGGGGGCCAUCCCGGCUUACCAACCCGAUGCAAACUGCGAAUACCGGAGAAUGUUAUCACGGGAGACACACGGCGGGUGCUAACGUCCGUCGUGAAGAGGGAAACAACCCAGACCGCCAGCUAAGGUCCCAAAGUCAUGGUUAAGUGGGAAACGAUGUGGGAAGGCCCAGACAGCCAGGAUGUUGGCUUAGAAGCAGCCAUCAUUUAAAGAAAGCGUAAUAGCUCACUGGUCGAGUCGGCCUGCGCGGAAGAUGUAACGGGGCUAAACCAUGCACCGAAGCUGCGGCAGCGAACGUUGGGUAGGGGAGCGUUCUGUAAGCCUGUGAAGGUGGCCUGUGAGGGUUGCUGGAGGUAUCAGAAGUGCGAAUGCUGACAUAAGUAACGAUAAAGCGGGUGAAAAGCCCGCUCGCCGGAAGACCAAGGGUUCCUGUCCAACGUUAAUCGGGGCAGGGUGAGUCGACCCCUAAGGCGAGGCCGAAAGGCGUAGUCGAUGGGAAACGGGUUAAUAUUCCCGUACUUGGUGUUACUGCGAAGGGGGGACGGAGAAGGCUAUGUUGGCCGGGCGACGGUUGUCCCGGUUUAAGCGUGUAGGCUGGUUUUCCAGGCAAAUCCGGAAAAUCAAGGCUGAGGCGUGACGACGAGGCACUACGGUGCUGAAGCAACAAAUGCCCUGCUUCCAGGAAAAGCCUCUAAGCAUCAGGUAACAUCAAAUCGUACCCCAAACCGACACAGGUGGUCAGGUAGAGAAUACCAAGGCGCUUGAGAGAACUCGGGUGAAGGAACUAGGCAAAAUGGUGCCGUAACUUCGGGAGAAGGCACGCUGACACGUAGGUGAAGUGAUUUACUCAUGGAGCUGAAGUCAGUCGAAGAUACCAGCUGGCUGCAACUGUUUAUUAAAAACACAGCACUGUGCAAACACGAAAGUGGACGUAUACGGUGUGACGCCUGCCCGGUGCCGGAAGGUUAAUUGAUGGGGUCAGCGCAAGCGAAGCUCCUGAUCGAAGCCCCGGUAAACGGCGGCCGUAACUAUAACGGUCCUAAGGUAGCGAAAUUCCUUGUCGGGUAAGUUCCGACCUGCACGAAUGGCGUAAUGAUGGCCAGGCUGUCUCCACCCGAGACUCAGUGAAAUUGAACUCGCUGUGAAGAUGCAGUGUACCCGCGGCAAGACGGAAAGACCCCGUGAACCUUUACUAUAGCUUGACACUGAACAUUGAGCCUUGAUGUGUAGGAUAGGUGGGAGGCUUUGAAGUGAUCCGGGUUGCGGACAGUGUCUGGUGGGUAGUUUGACUGGGGCGGUCUCCUCCUAAAGAGUAACGGAGGAGCACGAAGGUUGGCUAAUCCUGGUCGGACAUCAGGAGGUUAGUGCAAUGGCAUAAGCCAGCUUGACUGCGAGCGUGACGGCGCGAGCAGGUGCGAAAGCAGGUCAUAGUGAUCCGGUGGUUCUGAAUGGAAGGGCCAUCGCUCAACGGAUAAAAGGUACUCCGGGGAUAACAGGCUGAUACCGCCCAAGAGUUCAUAUCGACGGCGGUGUUUGGCACCUCGAUGUCGGCUCAUCACAUCCUGGGGCUGAAGUAGGUCCCAAGGGUAUGGCUGUUCGCCAUUUAAAGUGGUACGCGAGCUGGGUUUAGAACGUCGUGAGACAGUUCGGUCCCUAUCUGCCGUGGGCGCUGGAGAACUGAGGGGGGCUGCUCCUAGUACGAGAGGACCGGAGUGGACGCAUCACUGGUGUUCGGGUUGUCAUGCCAAUGGCACUGCCCGGUAGCUAAAUGCGGAAGAGAUAAGUGCUGAAAGCAUCUAAGCACGAAACUUGCCCCGAGAUGAGUUCUCCCUGAGACUUAGAGUCUCCUGAAGGAACGUUGAAGACGACGACGUUGAUAGGCCGGGUGUGUAAGCGCAGCGAUGCGUUGAGCUAACCGGUACUAAUGAACCGUGAGGCUUAACCUUACAACGCCGAAG